Molecule: long non-coding RNA, 270 nt
Filed under: Dendronephthya gigantea
Lineage: Eukaryota; Metazoa; Cnidaria; Anthozoa; Malacalcyonacea; Nephtheidae
Description: uncharacterized LOC114531658, transcript variant X2
Source: RNAcentral
AUUGGAAGUGAACAAGAUUUUUGCAGAGAUUUUCCCUGGUCAAGAGUGCAACAUGAGCCGUGGAUAUGAACUUUACUGUCAGAUGUACAUUGAUUGGAAAGUGAACAAGAUAUCUGCACUGAGAAUGAAUGAAGUUGAAGAAAGUUGAAAGGCACCCCAGAAGAACCUGAAUUAUUUUAGCCCUAUCCUAGAUUCAUUGAAUAUUUUAGUGUGUGAUAACAUGUGUGAAAUGUGAUCAAUUAUGUGACAAUUUUCAAAACUUGGAUUUAU